This 351-nucleotide ribosomal RNA is filed under the name Triticum aestivum (bread wheat). RNAcentral's name for it is "partial small subunit ribosomal RNA". The record is from RNAcentral. Lineage: Eukaryota; Viridiplantae; Streptophyta; Magnoliopsida; Poales; Poaceae.
AUGAUGGCCAUGAUGUCACUCCCCUCCUCGUUCCUUUUGACAGUUGUGGUGGCGGCGCGGAGGGCCACAGAGUCGAGCAAGACCAUGACAUGCCACGGGAUGAGCUUCCCCUUCGUUGUGUUCAUGUGCCACGCGGUGAACCCUACCAGGACGUACGAGGUGACGCUCGAGAGCGAGGACCUCACGUCGAGGAUGGUGCUGCUUGCCGUGUGCCACCUCGACACGUCUGAGUUCGACCCCAUGAAGAUGCCUGGACACGCCAAGCCAGGGGAUGCUCCGGGUUGCCACUUCAUCCCCAGGGACAGCGUCCUCUGGGCUCCGGUUGCACCCGCCGCCGCCACCGCUGCUUAA